UACGUAGGGGGCAAGCGUUGUCCGGAUUUAUUGGGCGUAAAGAGCGUGUAGGCGGUUUGGUAGGUCCGUUGUGAAAACUCGAGGCUCAACCUCGAGACGCCGGCGGAAACCAUCAGGCUAGAGUCCGGAAGAGGAGAGUGGAAUUCCUGGUGUAGCGGUGAAAUGCGCAGAUAUCAGGAGGAACACCGGUGGCGAAGGCGGUUCUCUGGGCAUGACCUGACGCUGAGGAGCGAAAGUGUGGGGAGCGAACAGG
Molecule: ribosomal RNA, 253 nt
Filed under: uncultured bacterium
Lineage: Bacteria
Description: partial 16S ribosomal RNA
Rfam family: Bacterial small subunit ribosomal RNA
Source: RNAcentral